GAUGAACGCUAGCGGCAGGCUUAAUACAUGCAAGUCGAGGGGCAGCACGAAUAGCUAUAUUUGGUGGCGACCGGCGCACGGGUGCGUAACACGUAUACAAUCUACCUUCAACAGGGGGAUAGCCUUUCGAAAGAGAGAUUAAUACCCCGUAAUAUAUGAAAUGGCAUCAUUUUAUAUUGAAAGCUCCGGCGGUUGAAGAUGAGUAUGCGUCUGAUUAGCUAGUAGGUGAGGUAACGGCUCACCUAGGCUACGAUCAGUAGGGGAUCUGAGAGGACUAACCCCCACACUGGUACUGAGACACGGACCAGACUCCUACGGGAGGCAGCAGUAAGGAAUAUUGGUCAAUGGAGGCAACUCUGAACCAGCCAUGCCGCGUGCAGGAUGAAGGCCCUAUGGGUCGUAAACUGCUUUUAUACCAGAGAAAACCCUUCCACGUGUGGAAGGCUGAUAGUAUGGUAAGAAUAAGCAUCGGCUAACUUCGUGCCAGCAGCCGCGGUAAGACGAAGGAUGCAAGCGUUAUCCGGAUUCAUUGGGUUUAAAGGGUGCGUAGGCGGACUGAUAAGUCAGUGGUGAAAUCUCUCAGCUUAACUGAGAAACUGCCAUUGAUACUGUCAGUCUAGAGUAUAGAUGACGUUGGCGGAAUAUGACAUGUAGUGGUGAAAUACUUAGAUAUGUCAUAGAACACCGAUUGCGAAGGCAGCUAACGAAACUAUAACUGACGCUGAGGCACGAAAGUGCGGGGAUCAAACAGGAUUAGAUACCCUGGUAGUCCGCACCGUAAACGAUGAUUACUCGUUGUUGGCAAUAUGACCGUCAGCGACCAAGCGAAAGCGAUAAGUAAUCCACCUGGGGAGUACGCCGGCAACGGUG
Molecule: ribosomal RNA, 870 nt
Filed under: uncultured bacterium
Lineage: Bacteria
Description: bacterial SSU rRNA
Rfam family: Bacterial small subunit ribosomal RNA
Source: RNAcentral